This 408-nucleotide ribosomal RNA is filed under the name uncultured bacterium. Its description in RNAcentral is "partial 16S ribosomal RNA". It matches the Rfam family "Bacterial small subunit ribosomal RNA", at positions 28 to 526 of the family's 1533-position model. The record is from RNAcentral.
GACGAACGCUGGCGGCGUGCUUAACACAUGCAAGUCGACAUGAGUGGCGAACGGGUGAGUAAUACGGCGGUAACGUGCCCUCCUUUUUGGGAUAAGCCUUGGAAACGGGGUCUAAUACCGGAGAAAGGGGGAGGGGCUGGUGGCCUAUCAGCUUGUUGGUGGGGUGCUGGCCGACCAAGGCGGUGACGGGUAGCCGGGCUGAGAGGUUGACCUGGCACAUUGGGACGGAGAAAAGGCCUAGAGUACGACGGGAGGGAGAAGUGUGGGAUAUGGGACAAUGGGCGAAAGCCUGAUGCCGCGAGGCUGAGGAGGGGAUGAAGACUUUAGGGUUGUAAACCUCGUGAGGUAUCGAAGGGGUAGGUGGAGAAGAAGCGCCGGCUAACUACGUGCCAGCAGCCGCGGUAAUUC